RNAcentral lists this ribosomal RNA (116 nucleotides) under Eptatretus burgeri (inshore hagfish). Lineage: Eukaryota; Metazoa; Chordata; Myxini; Myxiniformes; Myxinidae. The record is from RNAcentral.
CUUGAUAUUCAAGUUGGAAUGCUAUCCAUUCCAUCAAAUCUCAAUAGCAAAGCAGAUUCGAGUUGGGCUAGUACUUGGAUGGGAGGCCUCCUUGGAAGGUCGGAUUGAGGCCAAGC